UAUUUUAGAUUAUAAAUUGAUUAUUCUACCUAAGUACUAUGAAUUAUUGUUUGAAAUUUAAAGGACUUGGCGGUAUCUUAGACCAUUUAGAGGAACCUGUAUUUUAAUCGAUAGUCCUCGUUUCACCUCACCUUUUUUUGUAUUUCAGUUUGUAUACCGUCGUCGUCAGUUAACUUUAUAAUAAGAUAUAAGUUGUCUUGAAAAAUUUUUUUUUAGAUGUCAGAUCAAGGUGCAGCCCAUGAAUUGGAAAAUAUUGGUUACUAUUAUUUAUUUAUAAUAUGGAUAACUUUUUUGUAAUACAUGUUUGAAAAAGGAUUUAAAAGUAAUCUAAUUUAGAUAUAUUAGAUGAAUAUGGCUCUUA
RNAcentral lists this ribosomal RNA (361 nucleotides) under Opisthosiphon bahamense. RNAcentral describes it as "partial 12S ribosomal RNA". The record is from RNAcentral. Lineage: Eukaryota; Metazoa; Mollusca; Gastropoda; Littorinimorpha; Pomatiidae.